This 484-nucleotide ribosomal RNA is filed under the name uncultured bacterium. RNAcentral describes it as "partial 16S ribosomal RNA". It matches the Rfam family "Bacterial small subunit ribosomal RNA", at positions 30 to 507 of the family's 1533-position model. The record is from RNAcentral.
AUUGAACGCUGGCGGCAGGCCUAACACAUGCCAGUCGAGCGGAUGAAGGGAGCUUGCUCCUGGAUUCAGCGGCGGACGGGUGAGUAAUGCCUAGGAAUCUGCCUGGUAGUGGGGGAUAACGUCCGGAAACGGGCGCUAAUACCGCAUACGUCCUGAGGGAGAAAGUGGGGGAUCUUCGGACCUCACGCUAUCAGAUGAGCCUAGGUCGGAUUAGCUAGUUGGUGGGGUAAAGGCCUACCAAGGCGACGAUCCGUAACUGGUCUGAGAGGAUGAUCAGUCACACUGGAACUGAGACACGGUCCAGACUCCUACGGGAGGCAGCAGUGGGGAAUAUUGGACAAUGGGCGAAAGCCUGAUCCAGCCAUGCCGCUUGUGUGAAGAAGGUCUUCGGAUUGUAAAGCACUUUAAGUUGGGAGGAAGGGCAGUAAGUUAAUACCUUGCUGUUUUGACGUUACCAACAGAAUAAGCACCGGCUAACUUCGUG